Molecule: ribosomal RNA, 222 nt
Filed under: uncultured bacterium
Lineage: Bacteria
Description: partial 16S ribosomal RNA
Rfam family: Bacterial small subunit ribosomal RNA
Source: RNAcentral
AGUAAUGUCUGGGAAACUGCCUGAUGGAGGGGGAUAACUGCUGGAAACGGUAGCUAAUACCGCAUAACGUCGCAAGACCAAAGAGGGGGACCUUCGGGCCUCUUGCCAUCGGAUGUGCCCAGAUGGGAUUAGCUAGUAGGUGGGGCAACGGCUCACCCAGGCGACGAUCCCUAGCUGGUCUGAGAGGAUGGCCAGCCACACUGGAACUGAGACACGGUCCAG